Non-coding RNA from Pelobates cultripes (western spadefoot toad), 215 nucleotides. Lineage: Eukaryota; Metazoa; Chordata; Amphibia; Anura; Pelobatidae. The record is from the annotation of a GenBank genome assembly.
AAUAGAAAAAUAUAUGGACUGUUGAGUAAACUUCACACACAAAAACACAAAUAUCACAAUUUAAAAGAGCUGAGCGGAUUAAGCGGGCCUAAACUAUAAUAAUUAAGUUAGUUCAUAACUUUCCUAAAUACAGUACCAUAGGGAAGAACUAGAGUGAUCUUUAUAUAUAAGGAUAUUCAUAACAGAGAACGCAACAAGGUAUAUUGUUAUAUCAG